Molecule: ribosomal RNA, 488 nt
Filed under: uncultured bacterium
Lineage: Bacteria
Description: partial 16S ribosomal RNA
Rfam family: Bacterial small subunit ribosomal RNA
Source: RNAcentral
ACUCAAAUGAAUUGACGGGGGCCCGCACAAGCAGCGGAGCGUGUGGUUUAAUUCGAUGCAACGCGCAGAACCUUACCCAGACUUGACAUGGCGGCAGUAGCGGCGGGAAACCGCCGCGACUCGUCGAGGCGAGCACCGCCACAGAUGCUGCAUGGCUGUCGUCAGCUCGUGCCGUGAGGUGUUGGGUUAAGUCCCGCAACGAGCGCAACCCUUGGUGUCAGUUAUUUGUCUGGCACGACUGCCGGGAUCAACCCGGAGGAAGGUGGGGAUGACGUCAAGUCAGCACGGCUCUUACGUCUGGGGCUACACACACGCUACAAUGGGCGGUACAAUGGGCAGCGAAGGGGCGACCCGGAGCGAAUCCCAGCAAAGCCGUCCUCAGUUGGGAUCGGAGGCUGCAACUCGCCUCCGUGAACGCGGAGUUGCUAGUAACCGCUGGUCAGCACACAGCGGUGAAUACGUUCCCGGGCCUUGUACACACCGCCCGU